CCUGCCCCUAGAGGCAUUGUAGGUGUGACUACUAUGUCACUUGUAUGUCAGUAGGUGGCAGAGAGAAGAGAGCUUGCGUUCUGCCCCAUGUUCUGAUCUGUGAACAUCUGAAUGAUAAGUAGCCUAACAGU
Small nucleolar RNA from Arvicanthis niloticus (Nile rat), 131 nucleotides. RefSeq annotates it as small nucleolar RNA SNORA17. Lineage: Eukaryota; Metazoa; Chordata; Mammalia; Rodentia; Muridae. The record is from RefSeq and is a predicted model, not a curated record.